RNAcentral lists this long non-coding RNA (601 nucleotides) under Salvia miltiorrhiza (redroot sage). RNAcentral's name for it is "long non-coding RNA (SMIL_LNC014257)". The record is from RNAcentral. Lineage: Eukaryota; Viridiplantae; Streptophyta; Magnoliopsida; Lamiales; Lamiaceae.
AAAACUCACAACGAAAUUCCACCAAAAUUCAACCCCCACCGUCGAUUUGUAGCAACUUUCAAAUCUGUACAGAAUUUCAUUUUUUUUGCUCAAUUCUCAAACCAAGACAAAAAAAAGCAUAUCUGUUUAUUUAAAAAAAAAAAAGAGGAAGAAGAAGAAGAAGAAGAAGAAGCAGCGGCUGUUGGAGCUCGGAGGCGGUGCGGCUGCUGCGGGGCGAAGUCCUAGGAGGCGGCGGAACGACGGGAACGACUCGCGAAGUCUCGCCGUCUCGGAUCUGGGCUGCUGCGGGGCGAAGUCCUAGGCGGCGGCGGAAACGGCAACGGCGAGCCGGCGGGCGGGCGAGGGGCGCUGGGUGGGAGGCCGGAGAUCCUGGAACAGCAGGGCGGGAGGCGGAGACUCCUGAGACUGACGAGUCACGAAGACGAAGGGAAUUAGGGAAAGGAAGGGAAAAUGGGAAUUUCAAACCAGCGAAUUUGGGCGAAUUUGGGAUUCUGGGAAAUUGGGAAUUAGGGACUAUAUUCGAAUUUGGGAUUAUGGGAAUUUGGGCGAAUUUAAAAUACACUUAAUUAAAUAUUCGGGUAUUUCGGGUAUACCCGAUACC